AUUGAACGCUGGCGGCAGGCCUAACACAUGCAAGUCGAGCGGAUGAAGGGAGCUUGCUCCUGGAUUCAGCGGCGGACGGGUGAGUAAUGCCUAGGAAUCUGCCUGGUAGUGGGGGAUAACGUCCGGAAACGGGCGCUAAUACCGCAUACGUCCUGAGGGAGAAAGUGGGGGAUCUUCGGACCUCACGCUAUCAGAUGAGCCUAGGUCGGAUUAGCUAGUUGGUGGGGUAAAGGCCUACCCAGGCGACGAUCCGUAACUGGUCUGAGAGGAUGAUCAGUCACACUGGAACUGAGACACGGUCCAGACUCCUACGGGAGGCAGCAGUGGGGAAUAUUGGACAAUGGGCGAAAGCCUGAUCCAGCCAUGCCGCGUGUGUGAAGAAGGUCUUCGGAUUGUAAAGCACUUUAAGUUGGGAGGAAGGGCAGUAAGUUAAUACCUUGCUGUUUUGACGGUACCAACAGAAUAAGCACCGGCUAACUUCGUG
RNAcentral lists this ribosomal RNA (484 nucleotides) under uncultured bacterium. RNAcentral describes it as "partial 16S ribosomal RNA". It matches the Rfam family "Bacterial small subunit ribosomal RNA", at positions 30 to 507 of the family's 1533-position model. The record is from RNAcentral.